GACGAACGCUGGCGGCGUGCCUAAUACAUGCAAGUCGAACGCAUUUUCUUUCACCGUAGCUUGCUACACCGAAAGAAAAUGAGUGGCGAACGGGUGAGUAACACGUGGGCAACCUGCCCAUCAGCGGGGGAUAACACUUGGAAACAGGUGCUAAUACCGCAUAAUUCCAUUUACCGCAUGGUAGAGGGAUGAAAGGCGCUUUUGCGUCACUGAUGGAUGGACCCGCGGUGCAUUAGCUAGUUGGUGGGGUAACGGCCUACCAAGGCUGCGAUGCAUAGCCGACCUGAGAGGGUGAUCGGCCACACUGGGACUGAGACACGGCCCAGACUCCUACGGGAGGCAGCAGUAGGGAAUCUUCGGCAAUGGACGCAAGGCUGACCGAGCAACGCCGCGUGAGUGAAGAAGGUUUUCGGAUCGUAAAACUCUGUUGUUAGAGAAGAACAAGGAUGAGAGUGGAAAGUUCAUCCCUUGACGGUAUCUAACCAGAAAGCCACGGCUAACUACGUG
RNAcentral lists this ribosomal RNA (507 nucleotides) under uncultured bacterium. RNAcentral describes it as "partial 16S ribosomal RNA". It matches the Rfam family "Bacterial small subunit ribosomal RNA", at positions 28 to 507 of the family's 1533-position model. The record is from RNAcentral.